This 21-nucleotide small nuclear RNA is filed under the name Arabidopsis thaliana (thale cress). RNAcentral describes it as "snRNA_02522". Lineage: Eukaryota; Viridiplantae; Streptophyta; Magnoliopsida; Brassicales; Brassicaceae. The record is from RNAcentral.
AACUGGCUUGUGGCAGCCAAG